Schistosoma mansoni is the source of this 45-nucleotide non-coding RNA. NCBI's taxonomy places the organism in Eukaryota, Metazoa, Platyhelminthes, Trematoda, Strigeidida, Schistosomatidae. The record is from Rfam.
AUCCAGUUGACGCGUCCCAAAUAGGAGGAAACGUACGUCCUGGAU